UUUGUUCUUUUUGUGCAGUGAAAACGAGCAACUUGAUGUUCCUAACCUCACACAGUUGCCCAUAGACGACGUAUUGACUCGUGAUUUGGCAGAUGCGCAUAGUCAGGAAGAUGAUAGUGAUUGUGACAACAAUGCCGAUGAGUCUGGAGAUGACACACCCUUCCCUAAUGAGGAUGAUGACGAGGAGGAAGUGGAUGCCGAACCUGAGCUGAUGAAGGAGCAUGCUCCUCCACCUCCUGUUAGACCAAGAGUGUACGAGUCUCACGUGCCGUUUCAUGAGCGGAAUAUUCCCUACCUUGAUAAUUUGCCAAGUAUGCUGGACGUGGAUGCCCUCACAAGGGAUGAUGACAAAAUUCGGCCAGCAAUGUGGGAUGAGUCUAGACCAGCGGUGCUGGCAAAGGGCAUGUAUUUCCCUGAUAAAGCUCGCCUAAUCAGGGCUGUAAAAAUCUACAGCGUAAGAGAGUGUCGUGGGAUGACGGUAAGGGAGUCAACUACGGAGGUGUACAAGGAUGUAUGUCGUAGAGACUUUAUGGGUUGUCACUGGAUGUUGCGUGCCAGCAAGAAGAAAUCAGGGUUGUGGAAAGUGUGUAAAUAUAUUAGCACCCACAGAUGUGAAAUGGACACAUUCAAUGAGAAUCACUUCAACAUGGAUGUAGACUUGAUUUCUCUUGUCUUGAUUCCAUAUUUGGAAGUGUCCAUUAGGUUCAAGAUUAAAGAGUGUAUUAUAGCCGUCCACCAGGAGUAUGGUUGUACUAUAACCAAAAGAAAGGCAUAUCUCGGGCGCAAACGUACCUUUGAACUUAUUUAUGGUGACUGGGAUAAGUCUUUUUAAUCUCUGCCCAGGUGCAUGGCCGCACUACAACACUUUAACCCCGGGACUGUUGUUAAAUGAAGGCGUGAAUGGAGUCCGGACAGACCGGAAUAUAUUUUCAACUAUGUGCUCUGGUCAUUUAAACCAACAAUUGAUGGUUUUGUGCAUGGUCGUCUUGUAAUUUCCAUAGACGGUACUAAUGUCUAUGGAAAGUAUGAUAUUAAGCUUUUGAUUGCAGUUGCAGUAGACGCCAACGGACAAAUAUUUCCACUAGCUUUUGCCAUUUGUGCCAACGAAAGCGAAGAGACGUGGACGUUUUUUUGAACCACUUGAAGCAGCACGUUGUCAAACAACUUUAUUUGUCUAAUAUCUGAUCGACAUGGUGGUAUUUUAAGUUCUGUAAGGCAUUUGCCUGAAUGGCAGGAAUCCUAUGCAUACCACUGUUAUUGUGUGAGGCACCUGAAGGCCAAUUUCAAGAAGAAAUAUCACGACAAGGCCUUGCAUGAUUUAAUGUGAAUGACUGCAACUGAGCACCAGCAGUGCAAAUUCACGAGGCUCAUGGAAGUUAUUCGGCAGCUAGAUCCACGAGCCUAUACUUGGUUGAUGGGACAUGAGCUUCACAUGUGGACAUUGUAUGCUGAUGGCGGCAGACGAUGGGGAGCCUUGACUACAAAUGUGUCGGAGUCAUUCAACGGCUUGUUGAAGUCUGCCAGUGGAUUGCUUGUCACUGCCAUGGCCCGGAUGACAUUCAAACAGAUUGCAGAGAGGUUUGUUGAAAGGCAUCGAGUUGCAUCGGUAUUAAUAGACAGGGGCGUUCAAUUUAUGCCAAUACUGAUGAGAAGAUUUGAGAAGUACAAGAGGCGAGCACAUUGGCAUUUAUUUUUACAGUACGAUCACGACCGGGGUAUUUUUGAAGUUAAGACCACGAUCCGCGGACACUGCGGGAAUAAUCUACAGACGGUGAAUGAAGCCAGCAGGUUGUGUUCAUGUGGGAAAUGGACCAUCUACCACAUGCCCUGCACACAUGCCUUGAAGUGCUUUCAACAAGUUGGUUUAGGGGCGACCAACUAUAUUGAUAGGCAAUACAGUGUUGCUGCAUACUUAGACACGUAUAGUGGGCAGUUACAGCCAUUGGGUGUUGAGCAUUAUUGGCCGCCGGAACCUUUUGAAAUGGUGUGUAACAAGGACUAUUUGCGCAAGCUGCAAGUGCAAAAGAGAACGCGUAUACGGAACCAAAUGGAUGUUAGUGACACCGUUUAUGCGUGUAAAUGUGGCAUAUACUCGCAAACAGGGCAUGACCGUCGUAAAUGUCCUUCAGGUGGUGUGCGUGGCGGUGGUAAUCCAGCUCCUGGUGCAAGUUCAUCAAAAUGUACCCAACUAUCAAAGAUACACCUAGUCUUUUCUUUUCGUAUUGUUUUUUGUAAUGCGUGUCUGUACAGGUGAAAAGUGUGCGUCUCCGGUCGCCACCACUCUAUCAGCGCCGUGAUGAGAGACCAGUCGAGCUGCAACCGCCCAAUCUCAAAAAUCCUAAGGAAGCCCGUAGCACGCAGGCGAUGGACUACGCGGGGAUGGAAAUCUCUAUGCCUCAAAAAGUCCCGCAAGUCGUCCGGUCUCCUGGCGCGGAGACUCUAAUCUAAUAGAUGUCCUUCCCAUACGUAGGCGGACCUAUGGUCGCCCUGUAACACUAAUAUCUGAUCUGAGGCUGGUCCAGGAUGCACAGGUGGCAAGUCCAUGUCGUCUACUGUAGUUUAAACAAUAUUAAUUGUGUGUUUGUGUUACAAUAAUUAAUAUUUAAUUAUUUAAUAGGACAAAGUAUAUCACUGUGGGUUCCAGGCUCGAUAUUUGGGGUCCAGUAUCACCAAGCUAUCCUGAAUAAUGUGUGUCAAUUUUAAUAUUUUUAGAAUUUUGUUUGUGUUAUAAUAAUUAAAUAAUUAAUUAUUUAAUUGGACAGAGUAUAUAACUAUGGGUUCCAGAUUUGAUAUUUGAGGCCCAGUAGCACUAAGCUAUCCUUAAUUAUUAUGUGUGUCAAUUUCAAAUUUUUUAGAAUUUUGUUAGUUUAAUAAAUUAAAUAAUUAAUUAUUUAAUUGGACAAAGUAAAUAUCUAUGGGUUUCAUGCUCGAUAUUUGAGGCCCAAUAGCACCAAGCUAUCCUUAAUUAUUAUGUGUGUCAAUUUUCAAAUUUUUUAGAAUUUUGUUAGUUUAAUAAAUUAAAUAAUCAAUUAUUUAAUUGGACAAAGUAAAUAUCUAUGGGUUCCAGAUUCGAUAUUUGAGGCCCAGUAGCACCAAGUUAUCCUGAAUUCUUAUGUGUGUCAAUUUUAAUAUUUUUAAAAUUUUGUUAGUUUUAUAAAUUAAAUAAUUAAUUUUUAAUUGGACAUGGUAUAUAACUAUGAGUUCCACGCUCGAUAUUUAAUUUGACAACAUAUAUUAAUUUGUUAGUUCUGUAAGUUUGUUUUAUAAAUUAAAUAAUUAAUUUUGUAAAGUGUAAUUAGAUAGAGUUUAUAGUUAGUAGAUACUUAAACUACAGAGACUCUACGCUAAAAGACUCUAUAUUUUACUACGCUAAAAGGCUCUAUAUUUUACUACGCAAAAAGGCCACUAUUCUUUAAGCAAAUAAAUAAUGUAAACUAAAUAAAAACAACAAACAUAUGAACAUAACAUUCACGAAAUUAUAUAUAAAAUAGUAAAAGAUAUUUGUGAACAAUUUUAUUAACAAUAAAAAUUAUUUCUCAACUUUUAACUAUUUUUUUAAAACACUAAUAAUUUAAUCCGGGUAAAAAUAACAUACAAAUUUAAUCGCAAACAUAACACAAAUCAACGUGGAAACACAUUCAAGAAAACAAAUAUGCAUAUGAUUUACGAGUUUCGACAUAAACUAAAUCGGAAUACCUCGAUUUAUGUUUUUUGAAAUGUCGGAAAUUUGAAAUUUUGAGCCCGGAAGAAGGAAUCCACAACAAUCGAAGGCUUGGGUUGUAUGCGGGACCUACGCUCUUCACUUUUUGUGUGACGGGUGGGGCCCAAGGAAUUUUUUUUUUAGUCGGAGGGGGGAACCAGCAGGGGGGGUUAAAAUAGAACCAGUGGUUCUGUCGUGGGGAAGAAGACGUGCUUAUAUUUUUUUAUAGGAAAACGCAGUAUAAUACUACGUUUUCCUAAACGUAGUACUAUACUAUAUUUUCCUAUAAAAAAUAAAUAAAUUAGUAAAUAAAACGUAGUAUUGUACUGCAUUUUACUUUAACGACUAACUUUCCGUUAAACUAAAACGUAGUAUUAUAUUGCGUUUUAGUUAGAAAUAUAACUUUUUUUUAAUUGUAUAAUGAUAUUUUGAGUCCAAAAUACCAUUAUUUAAGUUUCGACCCCUGUCUGUACAGCGGUCACAAAGCCGUCCUCCUUGAUUGGAUGGUUCUCAUACACCCUUAAUCAAAAGUCUAGCAGAAGUUGUUACACCACGUUGGGAGCAGAAACUAACAAUAGAAGUUGUUACACCACGUGGGAGCAGAAACUAACAAUAUAUGCAUUGAGAAAGAUAAAAGAUUAGAGCGCAGUUCCGCUAUAAUAGAAGCUCUGGACCUCCAAACUGCAGCAUGUACAGCAAUUUAAAUCUUUUUAAAUCUUAAGGUUUCUCCUUCCUACCAAAACACAAAUUGUUUCAACGAUAUUUGGUGGUUGGAGCUAACAGCAUAUAAAAUUCGUGCAUACAACAUCUUCGCUAACAAAACUUCCAUCUAUAAAGGUUUGAGUAAAUAAGAGGAUUAACUGACUAAUUAACAAAUAAGACAUCCUUUUCAAUGUUUUGGUACAAGAAUCAUAUUGUCAACUAAAACAUGCCGUAAAUUGAGGAUUGAAUUGCCCUAAAAUCCUCUUAAAAUGUCUCCAUACAGAAAAGACUAAAAAGAACAAAUAGAUUCGAGGAAACAUGUGUUGGGUAGGUUACAGGAAGCAACUUUAUACUAUCACAGAAAAGACUAAAAAGAACAAAUAGAUUCGAGGAAACAUGUGUUGGGUAGGUUACAGGAAGCAACUUUAUACUAUCAAAACCUGGAAGCAACAAACAAUUUGGUCCGCAGUGUAAUAUAUGCUCUCUCAAGGAACUGCAAUACGACACUUCUAGUCAAUCUUCACUGAUGAGUAGAUGAGCCUCGUGAACCAGAAGCAC
Molecule: long non-coding RNA, 4960 nt
Filed under: Nicotiana tabacum (common tobacco)
Lineage: Eukaryota; Viridiplantae; Streptophyta; Magnoliopsida; Solanales; Solanaceae
Description: long non-coding RNA (NTAB_LNC013125)
Source: RNAcentral